AUCUCUUGGUUCCAGCAUCGAUGAAGAACGCAGCGAAAUGCGAUAAGUAAUGUGAAUUGCAGAAUUCAGUGAAUCAUCGAAUCUUUGAACGCACAUUGCGCCCCUCGGUAUUCCGGGUGGUAUGCCUGUUCGAGCGUCAUU
RNAcentral lists this ribosomal RNA (141 nucleotides) under Hypogymnia flavida. RNAcentral describes it as "5.8S ribosomal RNA". It matches the Rfam family "5.8S ribosomal RNA". Rfam says of the family: 5.8S ribosomal RNA (5.8S rRNA) is a component of the large subunit of the eukaryotic ribosome. It is transcribed by RNA polymerase I as part of the 45S precursor that also contains 18S and 28S rRNA. Functionally, it is thought that 5.8S rRNA may be involved in ribosome translocation. Lineage: Eukaryota; Fungi; Ascomycota; Lecanoromycetes; Lecanorales; Parmeliaceae. The record is from RNAcentral.